CAGACAUCUGCAUCAUUCACAUCCUGAAAUGUUCUCACAGUUUUCAUAAUUACCCUCAACUGCACUCAAACUACGGUAACGAGCUGGUUUGGAAAAUGUGAGGAGGAGAAAGUUUAGAUGUCGAGAGGAGAAGUCAAAGAAAUACUCAAGUAAAGUACAAAUACCUGGAGCAUCUACUUCAGUACAACGUCACCAUCCGAUGAUCUAAAACUCUCAUCUACACAACAAGGACAGGAAACACACACACACACACACACACACACACACCUCGCUGCCUUUGGCCAGAGCGAAGCCUCCUCCCAGCAGCAGGAGGAUGUUCCACGGCAUCUUCUUCUGUGUAACCUGCCAGACCUCCUCCAGAAGCAGAGGAAGUACGGCGGCUCGGAGGGAAGAACAAACAACAGAAUGGCGACAAACAGAGAGACGGUCGCGUCAGUGACGAACCUGCAGACACAAACAGAGAAUUACUGUUUUUCUUCCAGCGAUCAGGAUCAAUGGAAAUGUACAUAAAUCAACUUUAUGUUUAAUAUGUAGAUUUAUGAAACCAAAUCCUCCCCCUCAACCGUCCUGUGAGUCUGUAUUGAUUCAGACCUCCACAUGGUGCAACACAGCCGCUCAGUUCAUGAUGAAGAUUUCACCACAAAGUAUUUACCUGAACUCAGCGACCAAAAGUCCUCUCAGGCUUUUUGUGUGUUUUAUCUUAACCUUUUAGGGCUUUCAUUGAAAGAACGCAGGAUUUUUCAGUGUUCAGAAUGUAUUAAAGCUUAAAAGACAAAACAACAUACAGCAUGUCACCAUAUCAGUAACAGACAGAGCUCCUCCACUCGCUCAUCUCUGUGUCAGCAGGGUUAGUUAGUCUACAGGGACAUUUUACAUUUUUGUCUCUGAAAAUGACACAAUGAGAGUGAACCAGAGCAGUAAAGUUGUGUUUGGAGCUGAAUCUCACUGUGAAGCUGCAGAUUCAGCUGAUAAUUCACCGAACACAUUGUCUCACCAUUCAGUUCUAUGUCCUUAUUUGUGAGACAUCAGGUUCUGUGUGAGUACGAUCAGAUGUCCAUCUGCACGUCUGAGCUUCACUAUCACACUGUGUAAUCAGGAAACAUGUUGAAACCAUCCGUUUGCACAAACCACAGGUCCAAGGUGACCGAUUACCCACAACUGCCUUUCAAACCAGGCCAAAAGAUCACGAGUCUGCGUCCUGCUGCCUUUGACCUUGUUUUUUAGGAUGAGGAGAAAGAAAGUGUCACUCAGCUGGAUGACAAACUAACCGACAAACAUCCUGCUGUCAGCUGAUCUACACAAGGAUUUGGCAACACCGUCAGAUCUGUGACUUCUGGUUCCAGUCCAUAAAUGUUCUCAACUACACCACUAAGUUUCCCCCAUAUCGAAGACGAUGUUAUCCUGCGUGGUCUGGAGGCUGUCUGGUGUCACUGGUUUGUGCUCGACUUUGUUAAACAAACAACAAGUGACGCAGCUGACAGAGUUUAUCAUGAGCUGUAGUUUCCCUGGUAAACACAUCAACCUCUUCAGCUGUCGCAGCUGCAGUGUUUGUUUGUUUGUUGGUUAGUGGACCGUCAGGUAUCCCAGCAGACACCCAGCCUGUCUGCUCAGCCUAACAAGCCCAGAGACACUUUGAGGAGCGACUCAGGAGGAUGAGAGACUCUGACAACAGCAGCAGACGACUGACAGAGAGUCUGAAGAGGUCGGUGUGUUUACCGGGAAAACUCCAGCAUGCCAAGAUGAAGAAUUAUCUGGGAACAAACAGUGAGCGUUUCCCAUCAGCUGUGAGUUCACUGCGUCUUUUUGGAUUCCAAUGCGUCGCAGCAUAUUCGUCACAGUGUGAUAAUGAUAGUAAGCUCAGUAACAGCAUGAGCAGAUCUGCUCUGCUGCAGUCAGUGCUCUGUCCAGUUUGUCUGUUACAGGCACAAACUGUGAAGCGCUUCAGAUAAAAACACACUUAUGUUGAUGAUCUCUCACUGAAAGUUUCACAGAUUCAUACUCUCUAUGUAAUGUGUUUGGCUAGAUAUUUAUAAUAAGAACUGAUGUGUGGUAAUCUGUUCUGAUUGUCACUGUUGUUAGUCAUGCUGACAUCACAGUUCUAUAGAUGUAAAUGUCUAUCGGCCACCAUUUUGUUUCAGACUGAAGUAUCUAAACGACUGUUGGAUGGAUUGUUGAGAUGUUCAGUGAUUGGCACCAUCGUCAGGCCAUCAUUUUAAUGUGAACAACACUUUGGUUUCUGAAUAAAUAUCUGCAGAAUGAACGAUAUUCUCAUCAGCCUCAGCUAUAAUGUGUGUUCAUUGCAAAUAAGCUAAUGUUAGCAUGCUAGCACUCUGGAGUAAGAUGGUUCACGUGGUAAACAUUAUUUACAUCUGUUAGCAGUAAAGAUUAAGAUGACUGGCAUCAAUGUCUGAUCUCAGCACUCACGUCUAAAAGAAAAUCUUUACUGCAAUUUUGUUUCUUUGAUUAAAUAUUUUAAAUGAACAUCAGUUUGCCUCUGAAGUGUUUAGUCCAACCAAACUGCAAACAUCACGUUCAUGAGCAGAGUUCAGGAAAGUAAAAUGAAAUAAAUGAUUAAUUUUCCGCCUCUUCUGAGAAACGGAGUUUUGUUUUUAAAUCCCGGACUGCUGUUGUCCUGAUGUGUUCUCAUCUCGCACUCAAAACAAACAUCACAGUUAACAUCUGUGAGGACAAACAGAUCAAUGGAUGACGUCAGCCGCUCGUCAUGUGACCCAGCUGGCAGUUUAUGAAUGAGUGUGUAUGGACAGGAGAGCAGGUGAUAGGUGAGGGGGAGGAGCCAGGUGAGGUGAGGACUGAGGGGUCUCAGAGUUACAUCUUGGGCUGCGAUCUGAGUGACAUGACCUGGAUGCAUGUCAGUGACAGCUAUAACAAGAAGGGUUUGAAUUCUUGUAUUAAAGUUGUCUCAAUCUAUCCUGUUGUCAGCAGUGGAACCAAAAGACAGGAGCUAAUGCCGUCCCACAAUUCAACAUUCGAGCCGUACGCCAUUUGGCCAUUCACGAAAGGAUCCGACUCUGAACUCUGGCAGGUUCUGUUAAUCAGAUUAAUGUCGGCCUCUGUAACCUGCAGCCUGAUGAAGUGUGCAGAUCACGCUCAGCACCACAGGUCAGAGCCUCAGCUGCUGGCUGCACACCAGAGUUCACGGUUUGUACUCAGGACACGUUUCCUCUGUUUGUUCUUCGCCUCUGAUUCCUGUGUGUCCAGGGAUUUUGCCCCGAGGCGAGGUCCGAGUUUAACAGCAGUUAAAUGGGUUCAUUAAGUCCUCUGAACUGAAGCUUUUUUCCACUUUACAUUAAUGCACACACACACACACACACACACACACACACACACACACACACACACACACAGAAAAAUGUGACUAAUUUAUUCAAGGCAGCGUUUCUGUAAAAGAAGAUCUACAGUCCAGACUGAGGAGAUAUAAAAACACAGAGCUGAACAUGUUCUCAGGUCGUCUCGAAGUCGAAAUCUGAAUCAAAAGUUUCUGUUUUUGUGACUCUAACAGUACUCAGUCUCAUUUUCUAAUCUUCCAGGACACAAAAACAAUAUGAACCCGUUUAGUAACUU
This is a long non-coding RNA of Acanthopagrus latus (yellowfin seabream), 3582 nucleotides long. RefSeq lists it as uncharacterized. The record is from RefSeq and is a predicted model, not a curated record. The transcript has 3 exons. Lineage: Eukaryota; Metazoa; Chordata; Actinopteri; Spariformes; Sparidae.